This 439-nucleotide long non-coding RNA is filed under the name Phasianus colchicus (ring-necked pheasant). Its description in RNAcentral is "lncRNA (ENSPCLG00000009856.1)". Lineage: Eukaryota; Metazoa; Chordata; Aves; Galliformes; Phasianidae. The record is from RNAcentral.
CCCUAUUUAUUUAUCAUAAGGCGUAUUUCUAGCCAUUGAUUAUUCUUGGACCUGUAAAUCCAAAUUAAAUUUGAAUUACUUUUUCUUAAAAUGCGGUUGUAGAAAGAAGAGAGUGCAUGGGCUAUUGGUGCAGUAGUAGUGAAUGUAAAAUAACAUAGCCUCCCUAGUCUGACCUUAAUCUCAAGAGUAACAGCAAGUUACUGUUCGUAUUGUUCACGGCACACUAUGAUUUUAUAAUCUUUUAUUCUGUGGCUGCUGGUAGCUCCAUAGCUCCUUUCCCCGGAGGAAACAUCCUUGGAACCCAGGGUGCUGCAGGGCUCUUCGCACAGCAAGGACAUGUAAAUGUCUCAGAUUAACCAUGAAUCUGAAGCCCAGAAUCAAGACUGGCAAACGACAGAAAACAGAAUAAAAGCUAAGAUGCGUCUGUUUAACUAAAGCA